This is a long non-coding RNA of Astatotilapia calliptera (eastern happy), 424 nucleotides long. The record is from Ensembl. Lineage: Eukaryota; Metazoa; Chordata; Actinopteri; Cichliformes; Cichlidae.
GGUCGUAGGUGUAUUGUUGUUGUUGCUGUUUGGGUGUUGUUUUCCUUUUGGUUAUAGGUAGGCGAGGCGGGGCUUGAUGGCACUCCAACACACCUGCGACGCAUCGGACGUCAUCUGUGAGCGCUUUUAGGGAGCAGAGUCACGGACGUCUGGUGUCGGAGUAUUAUCGCUGUCACAAGUGCCUGUUCCAUCGCCUGCCCGCCUACCUAGGAUUUUCUGUUGGCUAUUCUGGAUCCGCGACGGAGUGCUACGUACCAUCAGGCGGCGAUCACCGCAGUGGUUUUGGUUUAGGUGGUCAAGUAACUCCGGUGUGUCUGCUACCUACCUGUAUGCUUCGGCUCCGUCUCAUCGCCUCGGUGUUUUUCUCCUGGCACGUUUUAUUUUAUCACUGUAUAUAGCCCUUUCCCUUGUAAAUAUUCCCCCC